Molecule: ribosomal RNA, 327 nt
Filed under: Vibrio parahaemolyticus
Lineage: Bacteria; Pseudomonadati; Pseudomonadota; Gammaproteobacteria; Vibrionales; Vibrionaceae
Description: bacterial LSU rRNA
Rfam family: Bacterial large subunit ribosomal RNA
Source: RNAcentral
GAAAUUGAAAUCGCUGUGAAGAUGCAGUGUACCCGCGGCUAGACGGAAAGACCCCGUGAACCUUUACUACAGCUUGGCACUGAACAUUGACCCUACAUGUGUAGGAUAGGUGGGAGGCUUUGAAGCACGUACGCCAGUAUGUGUGGAGCCGUCCUUGAAAUACCACCCUUGUAGUGUUGAUGUUCUAACGUCGACCCCUUAUCGGGGUUGCGGACAGUGCCUGGUGGGUAGUUUGACUGGGGCGGUCUCCUCCCAAAGAGUAACGGAGGAGCACGAAGGUGGGCUAAUCACGGUUGGACAUCGUGAGGUUAGUGCAAUGGCAUAAGC